This 253-nucleotide ribosomal RNA is filed under the name uncultured bacterium. Its description in RNAcentral is "partial 16S ribosomal RNA". It matches the Rfam family "Bacterial small subunit ribosomal RNA", at positions 524 to 776 of the family's 1533-position model. The record is from RNAcentral.
UACAGAGGGUGCGAGCGUUAAUCGGAAUUACUGGGCGUAAAGCGUGCGUAGACGGUUAUCUAAGUCGGAUGUGAAAGCCCCGGGCUCAACCUGGGAAUUGCAUUCGAGACUGAAUAGCUAGGGUGCGGUAGAGGGAAGCGGAAUUUCCGGUGUAGCGGUGAAAUGCGUAGAUAUCGGGAGGAACACCAGUGGCGAAGGCGGCUUCCUGGACCUGAUCUGACACUGAGGAGCGAAAGCGUGGGGAGCGAUCCGG